GGAGUUAGCUGAGAGGUGGUGCAUGGCCGUCGUCAGUUCGUACUGUGAAGCAUCCUGUUAAGUCAGGCAACGAGCGAGACCCACGCCCACAGUUGCCAGCGUACUCUCCGGAGUGACGGGUACACUGUGGGGACCGCCGCUGCUAAAGCGGAGGAAGGAAUGGGCAACGGUAGGUCAGUAUGCCCCGAAUAUCCCGGGCUACACGCGAGCUACAAUGGUUGGUACAAUGGGUAUCUACCCCGAAAGGGGAUGGAAAUCUCCUAAAGCCAAUCUUAGUCCGGAUUGAGGGCUGCAACUCGCCCUCAUGAAGCUGGAAUCCGUAGUAAUCGCGUUUCAACAGAACGCGGUGAAUACGUCCCUGCUCCUU
This 367-nucleotide ribosomal RNA is filed under the name uncultured Methanosaeta sp. RNAcentral describes it as "bacterial SSU rRNA". It matches the Rfam family "Archaeal small subunit ribosomal RNA", at positions 973 to 1338 of the family's 1478-position model. The record is from RNAcentral. Lineage: Archaea; Methanobacteriati; Methanobacteriota; Methanomicrobia; Methanotrichales; Methanotrichaceae.